CAGCCGCCGCGGUAAUACGUAGGUGGCAAGCGUCGUCCGGAAUUAUUGGGCGUAAAGGGCUCGCAGGCGGUUUCUUAAGUCUGAUGUGAAAGCCCCCGGCUCAACCGGGGAGGGUCAUUGGAAACUGGGAAACUUGAGUGCAGAAGAGGAGAGUGGAAUUCCACGUGUAGCGGUGAAAUGCGUAGAGGUGUGGAGGAACACCAGUGGCGAAGGCGACUCUCUGGUCUGUAACUGACGCUGAGGAGCGAAAGCGUGGGGAGCGAACAGGAUUAGAUACCCCCGUAGUCCCUGUCUCUUAUAC
Molecule: ribosomal RNA, 301 nt
Filed under: uncultured bacterium
Lineage: Bacteria
Description: partial 16S ribosomal RNA
Rfam family: Bacterial small subunit ribosomal RNA
Source: RNAcentral